UCACUGAUCAUCCCCACGGCAUGGAGCACUUGGAAGCAUCGGAACGCCGUCCUCUUCGAUGGAGAAACUCCAUCCCAUCCCCAUCUCAUGGAAACCAUCCAGCAAGAGGCUGCACGCGGGGCGAAGGCCGGCGCCAAAGGGCUACACCGAAUUCUACAUGUAACCCAACUUAGCACUUCGAGGCUGAGCAACCUCUCCUUCUGCUCACUUGCUCUCUUGGCGCCGCCAGCUCGUUGUGUACGGCCGCAAGAGAAGCACACUUGUAUGUAA
RNAcentral lists this ribosomal RNA (270 nucleotides) under Triticum aestivum (bread wheat). Its description in RNAcentral is "partial small subunit ribosomal RNA". The record is from RNAcentral. Lineage: Eukaryota; Viridiplantae; Streptophyta; Magnoliopsida; Poales; Poaceae.